Rhineura floridana is the source of this 597-nucleotide long non-coding RNA. RefSeq lists it as uncharacterized. The transcript is spliced from 4 exons. Lineage: Eukaryota; Metazoa; Chordata; Lepidosauria; Squamata; Rhineuridae. The record is from RefSeq and is a predicted model, not a curated record.
GGGGAGUAUCCUGUUCACUGUCUGCGUCUGGCUGAAGGGCUUCAGCUGUGUCUGGGGUGCUCUGCAGCUGAGGGGGAGAAGGAGCUGGGUUCUCAGGAGUUUCCUCUGUUUCUCCUUCUGGGUCUGCUGCUUCUGGGUCUGCUGCUGUUACUCCUGAGUCAUCCUCGUCUGAUGAGUCCUCUGACGGGGCCAUGACACUAGUUUACAGGAGGCCAUGGUGAGGACUGUCCACCAUGCUGAAUGUACACCAACAAAAAUGUUCCCUGCGUUUCUCUGCAACGUGGAAGCCUUACAUGUCGCCAGGACUUCCUAAGUCUGAUCAGCAGAGAGUGACCAAGUGUUGCAAUAACUUAGGAAGACUCAACAGGUUUGGCAAAAGCUGUUCACUUCUAAAGAAUGCUAGGCACAGAAACUGCUGCUUCUUAAUUUUGGGUUGAAAAAGGAAGUGUGGUAAAGGCCCCAUUCCUUGCUUGCUGGUUAAUGAGGCUCAUCUGAAACAUUUAUGACCAUCUUCACACAGUUUACAAAGUUCACAGAGAAUAUAGCUGCCAAAGAAAAUGCCAAAGAAAGUAUGCGCUCCCCACAUCCCUCAGUCUG